AGCUCCAAUAGCGUAUAUUAAAGUUGUUGCGGUUAAAGCUCGUAGUUGGAUUUCUGUCUGGGAUGGUCGGUCCGCACUUUGUGCGUGCAUCUGAUGCGUCCUCGGCAUCCUUCUGAAGGACAUUGUACUUUAUUGUAUGAUGGAUUUCAGAACUUUUACUUUGAGGAAAUUAGAGUGUUCACAGCAAGCAAGCGCUUUGAAUACAUUAGCAUGGAAUAAUAAUAUAGGACCUUCAGUACUAUUUUGUUGGUUCUAGAGCUGAGGUAA
RNAcentral lists this ribosomal RNA (267 nucleotides) under uncultured eukaryote. RNAcentral describes it as "partial small subunit ribosomal RNA". It matches the Rfam family "Eukaryotic small subunit ribosomal RNA", at positions 587 to 865 of the family's 1831-position model. The record is from RNAcentral.